GCCCGGGUGGCGGAAUUGGCAGACGCGCGUGACUCAAAAUCACGUGAGAGAAAUCUCGUGUGGGUUCGACUCCCACCCCGGGCACAA
This 87-nucleotide transfer RNA is filed under the name Patescibacteria group bacterium. RNAcentral describes it as "tRNA-Leu". It matches the Rfam family "tRNA". From Rfam's summary of the family: Transfer RNA (tRNA) molecules are approximately 80 nucleotides in length. Their secondary structure includes four short double-helical elements and three loops (D, anti-codon, and T loops). The record is from RNAcentral.